RNAcentral lists this ribosomal RNA (445 nucleotides) under uncultured bacterium. RNAcentral describes it as "partial 16S ribosomal RNA". It matches the Rfam family "Bacterial small subunit ribosomal RNA", at positions 354 to 796 of the family's 1533-position model. The record is from RNAcentral.
GUGAGGAAUAUUGCGCAAUGGAGGCAACUCUGACGCAGCCAUGCCGCGUGCAGGAAGAAGGCGCUACGCGUUGUAAACUGCUUUUAACCGGGAAGAAACCCCAGGACGUGUCCUGGGUUGACGGUACCGGAGGAAUAAGCACCGGCUAACUUCGUGCCAGCAGCCGCGGUAAUACGAAGGGUGCAAGCGUUAUCCGGAUUCAUUGGGUUUAAAGGGUGCGUAGGCGGAGCGUUAAGUCAGUGGUGAAAUCCUGCAGCUUAACUGUAGACUUGCCAUUGAUACUGGCGCGCUUGAGUGCGCUUGAAGUGGGCGGAAUGUGCCGUGUAGCGGUGAAAUGCUUAGAUAUGGCACAGAACACCAAUUGCGAAGGCAGCUCACUAAGGCGAUACUGACGCUGAGGCACGAAAGCGUGGGGAUCGAACAGGAUUAGAAACCCCAGUAGUCC